Molecule: ribosomal RNA, 30 nt
Filed under: Phlyctema vagabunda
Lineage: Eukaryota; Fungi; Ascomycota; Leotiomycetes; Helotiales; Dermateaceae
Also listed under: 5 other names
Description: partial 28S ribosomal RNA
Source: RNAcentral
GGUUGACCUCGGAUCAGGUAGGGAUACCCG